GCUCAGGAUGAACGCUAGCUACAGGCUUAACACAUGCAAGUCGAGGGGCAGCAUGUUAGUCUGCUUGCAGACUAACGAUGGCGACCGGCGCACGGGUGAGUAACACGUAUCCAACCUGCCGAUAACUCGGGGAUAGGCUUUCGAAAGAAAGAUUAAUACCCGAUGGUAUAGAUAUUCCGCAUGGUUCAUCUAUUAAAGAAAUUCGGUUAUCGAUGGGGAUGCGUUCCAUUAGGCAGUUGGCGGGGUAACGGCCCACCAAACCAUCGAUGGAUAGGGGUUCUGAGAGGAAGGUCCCCCACAUUGGAACUGAGACACGGUCCAAACUCCUACGGGAGGCAGCAGUGAGGAAUAUUGGUCAAUGGGCGCAGGCCUGAACCAGCCAAGUAGCGUGAAGGAUGACUGCCCUAUGGGUUGUAAACUUCUUUUACAUGGGAAUAAAGUUUUCCACGUGUGGAAUUUUGUAUGUACCAUAUGAAUAAGCAUCGGCUAACUCCGUGCCAGCAGCCGCGGUAAUACGGAGGAUGCGAGCGUUAUCCGGAUUUAUUGGGUUUAAAGGGAGCGUAGGUUGAUUGUUAAGUCAGUUGUGAAAGUUUGCGGCUCAACCGUAAAAUUGCAGUUGAUACUGGCGGUCUUGAGUACAGUAGAGGUGGGCGGAAUUCGUGGUGUAACGGUGAAAUGCUUACAUAUCACGAAGAACUCCGAUUGCGAACGCCGCUCACUGGACUGCAACUGACGCUGAUGCUCGAAAGUGUGGGUAUCAAACAGGAUUAGAUACCCUGGUAGUCCACACAAUAAACGAUGAAUACUCGCUGUUUGCGAUACAAUGUAAGCGUCCAAGCGAAAGCAUUAAGUAUUCCACCUGGGGAGUACGCCGGCAACGGUGAAACUCAAAGGAAUUGACGGGGGCCCGCACAAGCGGAGGAACAUGUGGUUUAAUUCGAUGAUACGAGAGGAACCUUACCCGGGCUUAAAGUGCAGAAGAAUAAUCAGGAAACUUGUUAGAGGCAA
Molecule: ribosomal RNA, 1008 nt
Filed under: uncultured organism
Description: SSU rRNA
Rfam family: Bacterial small subunit ribosomal RNA
Source: RNAcentral